Molecule: non-coding RNA, 19 nt
Filed under: Sarcophilus harrisii (Tasmanian devil)
Lineage: Eukaryota; Metazoa; Chordata; Mammalia; Dasyuromorphia; Dasyuridae
Also listed under: 1 other name
Gene: sha-miR-24
Source: miRBase by way of RNAcentral
UGGCUCAGUUCAGCAGGAA